RNAcentral lists this long non-coding RNA (4184 nucleotides) under Brassica napus (rape). RNAcentral describes it as "long non-coding RNA (BNAP_LNC012385)". Lineage: Eukaryota; Viridiplantae; Streptophyta; Magnoliopsida; Brassicales; Brassicaceae. The record is from RNAcentral.
CGAGUGUUACCAGGCCAAUGCCCGGUGCUCAGAGAACUGUAGAUGUCGACAUUGCAAGAACUUUGAAGGAAGCCAAGAUAUAAAACAGACAACCAAUGCGACUGUUGAUCUCGCCAUCGACCUUCCUCAAUCAAGAAAGAUCAAGGCAGCUUCACAUUCAGUAGCAGAUAGAGGUUCAUCUGCGGUUCCACACGUCCAAGACCAGACGGUAAACCCCUUUGUGUUUGAUGUGAUGGUUCUCAUGCUCUUUAGCUUCACUUUGUGCGUUUAAUGCAUAGUUCUUUGUGUGUGUGUUUUCUUGUUCAAACUAGGUGAAUUACGUUGGAAGGAAUGGUGACACUUCUUUAUUCACAGUCCCUAACAACAGAGUGGUAUCGGGAUCUACCGCACCUACUUACAGUUACAGGUUAGUGAUAUCAAAUCCUUCCUCUGUAUGAUAUGCACAUUCGAAACUACAGUGAUACCAUCUUAAGGUUUUGUCUGGUUGUUGACUUGUAUAGGUCCUCACAGUCCGAUACUAACCAGCUGCGCCAUGCCAAAGAGCUAUGCUCACUUUUGGUCUCAAAAUCGGUGGAGGUAGCAAAUAGAAUGUCAGGUACAGACAAAAAGAGGAAAGCCGAGAAAGACUCUUCACUUGAUUCAGCUCAGAGAGAUGCUAAUGUGAUGAAUGACUCUCCAGAUUGUGUCCUUGACGCUGGUAGAAUGGACGAGAAACCUAUGUCUCCAGCAACACGCGCAUUGAUGUGUGAUGAAGAACUUGUGACCAUAUCAGAGAAAGAGACAUCAGCGAGAGUGAGAACAAGCCAAGAGAAAGAAGACACAGACACAAGCUCGGAGGUUUACGCAGAACAAGAAAAUCAGAUCUUGUCAAGCUUCAGGGACCAUCUUAUGCAGCUCUUUAACCGUGGGAGCAUAAAUGGUAAAGCUGAUAUUUUUACUCGAGAGAUCAUAUCCUUUGUGCAUAAAUUUAGAGCGAGGAGAUGUGUUUGGUUUUGCAGGAACAAACAUCCAAAAGGCCAACACAGAUCCGAGUAGAAAGGAACCAGAGGAUGAAGAGCAGAGCCAUGGAGACUCAAGUUUGGGUUCUUAGGGAACUUCUGUGACAAAACUUUAGCAUCUAACUCUUUUUGUAACAUAUGAUCAUGUGACAUUGUUCUAAAAGUUGUAUAGGAAGAUCAGACUAGUUCCUUCUGGUCAAAUAUAAACUCUUCUUUUAUCUACUGAUUAGUAAGAAAUUCAAUUCAUUUGAUUUUGUCAAUACAAUAAAUGUGCCUUUCACAAACCCAGCACGAAAACACCUCAAAAAAAAAUUAUGUGGUUUGUGUAGGUUUUAUAAAAGAGUGGUUGAAAACUCUUUUACGUUCGGUAUGAGCAACAUAUGCCAUGUUUUGGAGGUUUAUGCUUUUUUGAACUCACCACAUACACUAGUCCCAAAAAUCUAAUUUGUCUUAUACAACAAUGGACAUGCACCAGUAGAAAUAGUAGUGUAUUCAUCUUGUCAUCCUCUAUACAAAAGCAGAAAUAUACAUUUUCUUUUCUUUUUACAAGAAGAAAGAGAAUAAAAAAGAGAGAUAUGAAUAUGAUUUCCUUAUGUCGACAAUUUUACCCUACUUAACAAUAUCACAGAUAAUCAUAAAAAAUGUGUUGGGAGUAAAGUACGGGCUAUAUAUCUAGAAUUAAACAAUAAUAAAUAUUAAAAAUGGUUUUUGGAAUUAAGAAUAUAAAUCAAGAAAACGUUUAAUAUAUAUUUUUGAAACAUUAAAACAUCACUACUUAUUUUUGUUAAUUAAAACAUCACUAGUUAUUUUUGUUAUUUAAAAAAUUAAACAUUAUUAAUUAUUUACGUAACCAAUAAAAAAUAAAAUGUAGAGUAUAAAUAUUUUAAAUAUAUAAAAAGAGAAAAUUUUAUAUUAAAAUUUUAAAAUAUCAUAUAAAUUAAUAUAUUUUUGAGACGUUUAAAUAAAUAAAAAGAAGAAAGAUGAUGUAUAAAAUAAAGUGGCUUAACUAACAAAAACAAAACGUUGACUAAAACACGUAGAUAAAAGCCAUAACCAACAAUAAGUCAAUAAGCACUUAAGCAGGUAGGUAGCAAAUUGUUCGGCACUGAACGUGCUACGUGCAUCCUAGCCACACUAACAUAAUAAAAACAGAACAUCCAAAUCUGUUUCCUCGGAACGAUCACCGGACUACAUGGAAACGUUGAGUAACGAAACCAAUGAGCUCAGAUCGGAGUUUCUCCACAUUCUUCCAUGUCAACGAUUAUCCAAAGGUUACAAUAUCUUCUCUUUUAAUAUUUGCAUCUUUCCUCAUUACUCAUCUCUGUAGAUUUUAUUUCUUGCAGUUCUUGUAAAGAACUGUCUAUUAUUUCUUCUUGUUUCCAAUCUCCUAAUCACCGGAGCUAUAGAAACGCACGAAGCUGUUGACUUUCGAUCUGAGUUUCUCCGAGUUCUUCUUAGUCGACGAUUAGGCCAAGGUUCAUUUAAUGAUUUUAUUAUUAAGAAACCUUCUUUUUAAAAAAAUUAUCUUCAUAACCACAGAUUAAAUGAUUAACUUCCUUUUUUUUAAUGAUUAACUUCCUUAAUUAACUUCCAAAACUUGAUUAAAUAUUUGGGAACCUUAUGCAUCCAGUUCCAUUGGUAGCUAAGUGUUCAAAGCCAGUGGCCAAUCCUAUCUUUCAAAGUGCUAUUCCAUCUACAGCAGUGAGAUAUUAUUAUUCUUCAAUCUUUUUUUUGCUUACAUAUAUUUAAUAUUUAUAAAAAGAAAAUUCAUUAUCUUCAUUACCAAACCAACCAGGCACUAGAGUCUUGUCCAAAGGAACAUAUUGAUAACUUUAAAGAGAUGCUUAAAGAGGAAAAUAUUCAUUUACACACUGAGGUAAUUUAUUUAUUACACGCCCCUUUCUCUUUCUGAUAAUUUUUCUGUCACACUCCGCUGUAUAAUGGAGAAAUCCGAUCAAGAUUCGGUUUCUAACCGCAACCAUUCGCCGCGCCAAUCAGAUUCCUCCGUCCCCGCGGCUGCUGCGGAGGCGAAGAUGGAUUCUUCUAACGAGAGUGCGAUCAAACAGUCCCAUCCUGUUCUCGAUUCGCAAGAUCGGAGAGAAGAAGACUUGCCUUCUCAUCCUCAUACGCCGCCGUCAAGUUCCGAGAAGCAGCCAUCAGCGACGCAAGACGCCACGCCGCCACAGACACUUCCGGUUCAUCGGUUUGUCACGAAUCUUUGAUUAGUUUCUUGGUUUAAAGAAAUAUUAAAGUUGACCAAAUUGGUUUAGCAUAAACCGUGUAUUAUUCAACCGGUUCAUCUGCAGACUCUGUAACGGAGUUAGUUAGAGUUUUUGAUUUGUUUAUGCAGCAAUCAAGAACCGUUGACGCCACGAGGGCAACAGCAGACGGAAGCUGAGUCCAAUGAUGAUGGUACUCCGAGUAAACAGAGGCGUUGCAAGUGUAAAGCUUCAAGAUGCUUGAAGCUGUAAGUGCUUCAAUGUGAUGGAGAUUGUCAAUGUCAAAUCCCUAGUGACGUUUGGUUGGUUGGUUGAUGUAAUCUUUGUAUAGGUAUUGUGAAUGCUUUGCGUCUGGAUCGUAUUGCAAUGGAUGCAACUGCUUGAAGUGUCAGAACACUUUGGAGAAUGAGGCUGAAAGACAGGAAGCCAUCAAGGCGAUCUUGGAGCGUAAUCCGGGUGCUUUCAAGCGCAAGAUUGGUGCUAGUCCUCAGGUUUUGUCCUCUAAAAAGGCUUUUAACUUUAUACUUUGGCUACAACUUAGUUAGGAGAUGGGACACCACAUGCAUUUGAACGGAAUCAAUUGUUGUUAUAAACUUGUUUAGCUGAAGAAAGAAAGUGUCAUGAGAUGAUUGUGAUGUACUCAUUUUAUCAAUUUAUCCUCGAAAAUGGACUUGGUAGGAGGAUGUGAGCCAACUCGUGACUCUGGGAAAGCACAGCAGAGGGUGCAACUGCAAGAGAUCAGGAUGCCUUAAGAAGUACUGCGAGUGUUACCAGGCCAAUGCCCGGUGCUCAGAGAACUGUAGAUGUCGACAUUGCAAGAACUUUGAAGGAAGCCAAGAUAUAAAACAGACAACCAAUGCGACUGUUGAUCUCGCCAUCGACCUUCCUCAAUCAAGAAAGAUCAAGGCAGCUUCACAUUCAGUAGCAGAUAGAGGUUCAUCUGCGGUUCCACACGUCCAAGACCAGA